GACGAACGCUGGCGGCGUGCUUAACACAUGCAAGUCGAACGGAAAGGCCCUGCUUUUGUGGGGUGCUCGAGUGGCGAACGGGUGAGUAACACGUGAGUAACCUGCCCUUGACUUUGGGAUAACUUCAGGAAACUGGGGCUAAUACCGGAUAGGAGCUCCUGCGGCAUGGUGGGGGUUGGAAAGUUUCGGCGGUUGGGGAUGGACUCGCGGCUUAUCAGCUUGUUGGUGGGGUAGUGGCUUACCAAGGCUUUGACGGGUAGCCGGCCUGAGAGGGUGACCGGCCAAAUUGGGACUGGGAUACGGCCCAGACUCCUACGGGAGGCAGCAGUGGGGAAUAUUGCACAAUGGGCGGAAGCCUGAUGCAGCAACGCCGCGUGCGGGAUGACGGCCUUCGGGUUGUAAACCGCUUUCGCCUGUGACGAAGCGUGAGUGACGGUAAUGGGUAAAGAAGCACCGGCUAACUACGUG
Molecule: ribosomal RNA, 468 nt
Filed under: uncultured bacterium
Lineage: Bacteria
Description: partial 16S ribosomal RNA
Rfam family: Bacterial small subunit ribosomal RNA
Source: RNAcentral